This 253-nucleotide ribosomal RNA is filed under the name uncultured bacterium. RNAcentral describes it as "partial 16S ribosomal RNA". It matches the Rfam family "Bacterial small subunit ribosomal RNA", at positions 524 to 776 of the family's 1533-position model. The record is from RNAcentral.
GACGUAGGGCGCGAGCGUUGUCCGGAUUUAUUGGGCGUAAAGAGCUCGUAGGCGGUUUGUUGCGUCGGCUGUGAAAACCUGAGGCUCAACCUCAGGCCUGCAGUCGAUACGAGCAGACUAGAGUGUUGCAGGGGAGACUGGAAUUCCUGGUGUAGCGGUGAAAUGCGCAGAUAUCAGGAGGAACACCGGUGGCGAAGGCGGGUCUCUGGGCAACAACUGACGCUGAGGAGCGAAAGCGUGGGGAGCGAACAGG